Long non-coding RNA from Pongo pygmaeus (Bornean orangutan), 2706 nucleotides. RefSeq lists it as uncharacterized. NCBI's taxonomy places the organism in Eukaryota, Metazoa, Chordata, Mammalia, Primates, Hominidae. The transcript has 3 exons. The record is from RefSeq and is a predicted model, not a curated record.
AGCUUUUCGCAGCGUCUCCGACCGCCGGGCGCGGUGGCGCGUGCCUGUAGUCCCAGCUACUCGGGAGGCUGAGGUGGGAGGAUCGCUUGAGCCCAGGAGUUCUGGGCUGUAGUGCGCUAUGCCGAUCGGGUGUCCGCACUAAGUUCGGCAUCAAUAUGGUGACCUCCCGGGAGCGGGGGACCACCAGGUUGCCUAAGGAGGGGUGAACCGGCCCAGGUCGGAAACGGAGCAGGUCAAAACUCCCGUGCUGAUCAGUAGUGGGAUCGCGCCUGUGAAUAGCCACUGCACUCCAGCCUGAGCAACAUAGCGAGACCCCGUCUCUUUUGCCCCCCUCCCUCAUUGAGGGUACCUUUCGCUAAAUCUCACCAAUUGACGGGAUGCUUAGGGAUUUGCAACCGCCUCAUCGCUGCCCCCUACCUGCGCAUAUUCAAAACGUCUCUGCUAAAAGCUGUUAUUACCCACAGAGCCAACAGGGGCCGCUCGUUUACCCACAGACAGUCGGAAAAAAAUGGCCGCCGGAUCACAGAGAGCAAAAAGUACGUUCUCUUCAAGAAUUUCCGAGUUCUUCCCGCGGCCGUUCAGGAUGCUGCUUGCAGUUACCAACACUAUUCCCCUGCACUGAGUUGACCUGAGCUUCCCUGCCUACCUCCUGUCACGGAUGUCACCUUCUUUCACCCCUGUCCUGUCAAGGUUUUUGCUUUAAAAUGCUAUAGACCAAAGACGGGCAAAUCAACAGUCUUACACACAAAUCCUUUCGUUCUACUUGGCUACAAGCAGGGCUAAUCUUCCGAAGAGGAACCCCACUACUGCCUCCUUAUAAGGGAAAAACUCCUCUCAGAGGAACCCAGAACGCCCUGUGAUGACAGAGGUAGUUCAUUGCAUUUUGAACAAGGAUAACUGUCAGAAAAGAUCCUCUUUGAAUCGAACAGAUAUCUCCCCCAUGGCUGCUUCUGGGUCUGCCCUCUGCAACCACAUGGAAGAAGUCUGAUUCCAGUUCUUCAGGACAACUUUUCAAGAAUUUAAAAAAUCACCUGCAAAUGAAUGCAUUUUUACAAAAGGAAAAUAGGUAGAGGUGCUAUUUAAAAAAAAAAUCUUUACCUUCUCACCAACCUUAAAAUAAGAAGCAAAAUAAUUUUGGUAUAUCUUUUUUUUUUUUUUUUUUUGAGACAGAGUCUUGCUCUGUCACCCAGACUGGAGUUCUGGGGAGCGAUCUCUGCUCACUGCAACCUCUGCCUCCCGGGUUCAAGCGCUUCUCCUGCCUCAAGCCUCCCGAGUAGCUGGGAUUACAGGCACACACCACCAUGCCCGGCUAAUUUUUGUAUCUCUUUUGUUUUUCACUAAAUGGAUCCCUGAAUUGGACCCAGAAUGACUUAGCUAUGGAUGUAAGAACUGCUUUUGAGUAGCUGCCUCUAUUAGCCCUGAGGUUCCUACUUCCUGAAUUCCAUGACCUCUGGGAUAACUCAGCUUUGUGGAACUGAGGUGUGAUAGGCAGCAUAAUGACCACCUCCCCAAAGAUAUCUAUGUGCUAACCAACCAAGGAAUGUGGACAGCCCCUGAAGCUGGAAAAGGCAAGGAAAAGGAUUCUCUUCAAGAGUUUCCAGAAGAAAUUCAGCCCUCUUCACCCAUUUGGUACUUCUGAUCUCCAGAACUCUUAAAUAAUAAAUUUGGCCGCGUGUAGUGGCUCACACCUGUAAUUCCCAGCACUUUGAGAGGCCAAGGCAGGUGGAUUGCUUGAGCUCAGGAUUUGGAGACCAGCCUGCACAAAAUGGUGAAACCCUGUCUCUACAAAAAAUAUGAAAAUUAACCGUGUGUGGUAGUAUGUGCCUGCAGUCCCAGCUACCAGGGAGGCUGAGGUGGGAGGAUCACCUGAGCCCAGGAGAUUGAGGCUGCAGUGAGUUGUUAGUGUCCCACUGCAUUCCAGCCAAGGGGACAGAGUGAGACCCCAUCUCAAUAAUAAUAAUAAUAAAUUUAUGUUGUUUAAGCCUCUAAAUUUGUGGUAAUUUGAUACAGCAAAUUAUCACAGAAUAGGAAAGUAAUACAUGGGGGGAAUCAAGCUCAGUCUGUAACUGACAAAACUCUGAGAGAUCAGAAAGGUAUCCUUUCAGUAACUGUCUUCUUGAACUCCUGACCUCAAGUGAUGCGCCUACCUCAACCGUGCCCAGCCAGUAACUGUCUUCUUUAACAUACUUGUACUUUAAAAAAAAAAAAAAACUUUUAAGUUGAACACAUUUUCACAUUGAUAUUUUUUUCUGUGUGUGUGUGUGUGUGUGUGUGUGUGUGUGUGUGGACUACACUUUUAAGUUUUUAAUUAUGUUUAGGGUUAAGAUUAGGGUUAUGGUGGAAUAUUUUUGACAUAUAGUGACUUUAAACUUUUAUGGGCUGGGCGCAGUGGCUCACGCCUAUAAUCCUAACACUUUGGGAGGCUGAGGCGGGCAGAUCACCUAAGGUCGGGAGUUCAAGAUCAGCCUGACCAACAUGGAGAAACCCCCAUCUGUAAUAAAAAUACAAAAUUAGCCAGGUGUGGUGGUACAUGCCUAUAAUCCCAGCUACUGGGGAGACUGAGGCAGGAGAAUCGCUCAGACUCGGGAGGCAGAGGCUGAAGUGAGCCAAGAGUGAGCCAUUGCACUCUCAGCCUGGGCAACAAGAGUGAAACUCGGUCUCAAAAACAAAACAAAACAAAAACAAUACCCCUUUAAUGUAUUCAGA